Molecule: ribosomal RNA, 448 nt
Filed under: uncultured bacterium
Lineage: Bacteria
Description: bacterial SSU rRNA
Rfam family: Bacterial small subunit ribosomal RNA
Source: RNAcentral
UCGGGAAUUUUGGGCAAUGGGCGAAAGCCUGACCCAGCAACGCCGCGUGAAGGAUGAAGUAUUUCGGUAUGUAAACUUCGAAAGAAUAGGAAGAAUAAAUGACGGUACUAUUUAUAAGGUCCGGCUAACUACGUGCCAGCAGCCGCGGUAAUACGUAGGGACCAAGCGUUGUUCGGAUUUACUGGGCGUAAAGGGCGCGUAGGCGGCAAUUCAAGUUCAUCUGUGAAAUCUCCGGGCUUAACUCGGAACGGUCAGAUGAUACUGCUUUGCUAGAGUGCAGAAGGGGCAAUCGGAAUUCUUGGUGUAGCGGUGAAAUGCGUAGAUAUCAAGAGGAACACCUGAGGUGAAGACGGGUUGCUGGGCUGACACUGACGCUGAGGCGCGAAAGCCAGGGGAGCAAACGGGAUUAGAUACCCCCGUAGUCCCUGAGCGGGCUGGCAAGGCGCAU